This 545-nucleotide ribosomal RNA is filed under the name Staphylococcus pseudintermedius. RNAcentral's name for it is "bacterial SSU rRNA". It matches the Rfam family "Bacterial small subunit ribosomal RNA", at positions 1 to 528 of the family's 1533-position model. The record is from RNAcentral. Lineage: Bacteria; Bacillati; Bacillota; Bacilli; Caryophanales; Staphylococcaceae.
UUUAUGGAGAGUUUGAUCCUGGCUCAGGAUGAACGCUGGCGGCGUGCCUAAUACAUGCAAGUCGAGCGAACAGAUAAGGAGCUUGCUCCUUUGACGUUAGCGGCGGACGGGUGAGUAACACGUGGGUAACCUACCUAUAAGACUGGAAUAACUCCGGGAAACCGGGGCUAAUGCCGGAUAACAUGUUGAACCGCAUGGUUCUACAGUGAAAGACGGUCUUGCUGUCACUUAUAGAUGGACCCGCGCCGUAUUAGCUAGUUGGUGGGGUAACGGCCUACCAAGGCGACGAUACGUAGCCGACCUGAGAGGGUGAUCGGCCACACUGGAACUGAGACACGGUCCAGACUCCUACGGGAGGCAGCAGUAGGGAAUCUUCCGCAAUGGGCGAAAGCCUGACGGAGCAACGCCGCGUGAGUGAUGAAGGUCUUCGGAUCGUAAAGCUCUGUUGUUAGGGAAGAACAAAUGUGUAAGUAACUGUGCACAUCUUGACGGUACCUAACCAGAAAGCCACGGCUAACUACGUGCCAGCAGCCGCGGUAAUACGU